This is a non-coding RNA of Ictidomys tridecemlineatus (thirteen-lined ground squirrel), 2146 nucleotides long. The record is from RefSeq and is a predicted model, not a curated record. Lineage: Eukaryota; Metazoa; Chordata; Mammalia; Rodentia; Sciuridae.
GCCUGGAGAGCUCACCCUGCCUAGCCCCUCCUCAGCCGGUGCGCUGCGGCCCUGUUCAGGACCGCAGCCGCUCGUGCCGCUGGGCCGAACCUGCUCCUCCGACCAGCCGUGCGGGUGGGAGGAGUCCGUUGAGGGCGUGGCUUGGUCCAGGAGCAGCGUCUUCCAGGGUGGUGCAGUGUCCCCUUUUCCACCCACCAAGGUAGAGAAGGCGGAGGGCAGGUGUAAGAGCUGGGUCAAACCCUACCAACUCCCUCUCCUACUCCAACGAAACUAACGAAGGACUGGGCGAGCUUCGUAGUUGCCGCCCCACCCGCCACAGCCCGGUCAAGAGUGUUGCCAAAGUCUCUCUGGAAAUGGAGAAUUCUCAGCUGCAGCAAAAAUUCCCUUGUGAGCAGGAGAGAUGAGCAUAAACUUUACUCCAAUGGAAUUUCAUUAAAUACAAUGAUGCAGCUGCCUGCAGCAGGCCCAGGCCUUAGAGGGAUCGGUAGCCUGGACCUUCAUCAGCAGAAGGUCUGAACAGACCACAAAGAGCCAGGUCCAAGGAAAGAAGCAUGAUGGUGAGAAAGAACUCAGGGAUCACAAGGUACCCGGGAAGGCCCCAGCACCCUCAAACUAUGGCCACCCCCUGAAGGUGUGUCUCCAAUUUGGUGCAGGGGCUGGAGCAUCAUAGCCUGAGUACCAAGUGAGGCCAAGGUGAAGGUGCUGCCCCUCCCUCCUCAGAGCCUAACCCACAGCAGAGCUGGCAGAUGGAAAGUGUGGCAGUCAUACCCCUGUAACUGAAGUUCUUCCUCCACAUCUAGACACACACCUCUGUGGGUACCUGGGCUCUGGUAACUUCCCUGAGUGCCAACUGUGCCAUCACCAGGCUGUCUGCCCAGCCCCUUCCAUCCCCUUCUGCUCACUGGACAGCUUUGAGGCCAUGACCCUUCUGGGGCUCCAGAGGACACACACACAGUGCUGUGCUGAGCUGAGAAGGAACAUCCUGAGCAGGCCCUGAUGCCAGCUGGCCUGGCUGUAAGCUCCUCACCCAACAAGGCUAACCCAGGGCCUGCAAAAGGGGAGCCAACCAAGGUAGAGUGGGGGAAGGGCUAUGCCUUUACCAGAUCUUGUCCAUCAGCACAUUCCCUCCACUUCCUGUAGGGUCACUGGUAUGUCUUCCCUGGAAGCCAGUGCCUUGUUGGGAGAGCAUGGUCUGGUGCUAGUGCCUUUGUAGACAUAAAGUCUAGGUCUGGAGGCUUUGAAAAUGACUGACUCACCUGGAACUUUAUCCUUAGAUUUAUUAAGAGCAGCUGUAACUGAUAAAGUGGAAUUUGAGGAAGUUAGAGUCCCUUCCCUUAUCCUGGGUAAGCAAAGAUGCAGUUUGUAAGGGAAGGUGGAGGAGCAAGGUAAGGAAUGUGCUUUUUUGCUUUAAUGUCUAUUAAAAAAGUUGUUGGGGAAAAUAGCCCAAGGAUGGGGACCAAACUCCUACAAAGAGCCCAUUCCUUGCUCUCUGCACUCAAGCUGCAGCCCCUUCCAGAAGCAAGAGUUCCCCAAUGGAUGCAGCCAUGAGUUGGAAGGUAGUGUCUGAUUCCUUUGUUUCUGGGCUGCACUGAGAAGAAACAAGUGGGAGCUCCUUCUCACCGGUGUUGCUCGUCCCACAGCUCCAGACCUGUGCUCCAUCAUGGAGAAAGUCAUGGCCCUUCUGAUGGUAUCCCAUCCGGAUGGGUCAGGGUUGCCACCCUGCUUCCAGUGACUGUUCAUGCUUGGGAAGGCUGGCCAGGAGGGCAGGUGGGACAAUAACCUUCAGUGCCACAUGAGAUCAGGUUUUGCUUCUCUCAGGAGGUGCCCUCCAGUAAAGACCUCAGCCUCUUCCUGCCUCCACAGCUAGCUGUCCGUCCUUUUCAGGCAGUGGAAGAAGUUACAGACAAGCUCAUACCAGAAGAACACUAACCCUGUGGAGAGGGCAGCCUUGAGCAGGCUGGGGGACAGGCCCUUGAAGAAGCCUUGGGCACCUUCCUCUUGCAGCAUCUGCUUGGUGCAAUCCAAGAGGCCCCUGUAUCUCCGCACCUGGGGAGAGAAAGGUUCAGGUUGAGCAAAGAUGAAGUGAGUAAAACAGAGAUGCACCUAGGACAUCAUGUUCCCAAUAAAUGCUUGCCAGAUGAAGGAA